ACUUUUGUCCAACUUUGUAAAACAAGUCAAGAGAUGUAGAAUAACUGGGAGUUCUGUGAGGAUGUGAAGUGAAACACCAAUACUUUUGACGUUAUUUUACUUAUUCUAUGAGGUGAAGAUGUGAUUAUGGCCCCAUUUUUGGCCUUACACUCGCUUGGAGACAAGUUGUGCGAUCCUGGUGGAAAAAAUUGUCAAUGAGCAGU
RNAcentral lists this non-coding RNA (203 nucleotides) under Marchantia polymorpha subsp. ruderalis. Its description in RNAcentral is "Eukaryotic large subunit ribosomal RNA". It matches the Rfam family "Eukaryotic large subunit ribosomal RNA", at positions 2425 to 2620 of the family's 3401-position model. Lineage: Eukaryota; Viridiplantae; Streptophyta; Marchantiopsida; Marchantiales; Marchantiaceae. The record is from Rfam by way of RNAcentral.